AAAUUAACAAACACAAAGUACAAAGAAACUUACCAGAAACCUUCACACGAAGUUUUAUCAACUCGACGGGUUCUUUUUCCUUUGCAAUAGGACCUUCUCCCAUAUCUUUGGCUAAAAAAAUCGAAUAACUCUUUUAAAUAUGAAAACAACUUAAAUUCAAAAUAAUAGCAAGAAUCAGUAAACAUGCAAAUAGUUUCUAGAAAUUAGUUUUCUUCUUGUCCAAUAUUUUAGAUGAAAACCCUAUUGAACAACUCAU
RNAcentral lists this long non-coding RNA (256 nucleotides) under Gossypium barbadense (sea-island cotton). Its description in RNAcentral is "long non-coding RNA (GBAR_LNC018002)". The record is from RNAcentral. Lineage: Eukaryota; Viridiplantae; Streptophyta; Magnoliopsida; Malvales; Malvaceae.